CCGGCAUUGCUAGGGUGAGCCUUAUCUCCUCCAAGUGCAGAACAGAUCCUGCACACGGUCACCGUGAACACUGAGGCCAGGCCCCGGCCACCAAUGCACUGAUCCCUGAGCCUGCUGUUUUCAAAAACUGUAAAAGCAAAGAAUGCCAAGAG
Bufo bufo (common toad) is the source of this 152-nucleotide long non-coding RNA. RefSeq lists it as uncharacterized. The transcript has 3 exons. NCBI's taxonomy places the organism in Eukaryota, Metazoa, Chordata, Amphibia, Anura, Bufonidae. The record is from RefSeq and is a predicted model, not a curated record.